CGGGGCGUGGUGCAGGGGCAGCACGCUUGCUUUGGGAGCAAGAGGUCGGCGGUUCGAAUCCGCCCGCCCCGA
RNAcentral lists this transfer RNA (72 nucleotides) under Thermaerobacter composti. RNAcentral's name for it is "tRNA-Pro". It matches the Rfam family "tRNA". From Rfam's summary of the family: Transfer RNA (tRNA) molecules are approximately 80 nucleotides in length. Their secondary structure includes four short double-helical elements and three loops (D, anti-codon, and T loops). Further hydrogen bonds mediate the characteristic L-shaped molecular structure. tRNAs have two regions of fundamental functional importance: the anti-codon, which is responsible for specific mRNA codon recognition, and the 3' end, to which the tRNAs corresponding amino acid is attached (by aminoacyl-tRNA synthetases). tRNAs cope with the degeneracy of the genetic code in two manners: having more than one tRNA (with a specific anti-codon) for a particular amino acid; and 'wobble' base-pairing, i.e. permitting non-standard base-pairing at the 3rd anti-codon position. RNAcentral also lists the same sequence under 8 other names. Lineage: Bacteria; Bacillati; Bacillota; Clostridia; Eubacteriales; Clostridiales Family XVII. Incertae Sedis. The record is from RNAcentral.